GUUGGUGGCAAGCGUUGUCCGGAAUUAUUGGGCGUAAAGCGCGCGCAGGCGGUUCUUUAAGUCUGAUGUGAAAGCCCACGGGCUCAACCGUGGAGGGUCAUUGGAAACUGGAGAACUUGAGUACAGAAGAGGAAAGCGGAAUUCCACGUGUAGCGGUGAAAUGCGUAGAGAUGUGGAGGAACACCAGUGGCGAAGGCGGCUUUCUGGUCUGUAACUGACGCUGAGGCGCGAAAGCGUGGGGAGCAAACAGGAUUAGAUACCCUGGUAGUCCACGCCGUAAACGAUGAGUGCUAAGUGUUAGGGGGUUUCCGCCCCUUAGUGCUGCAGCUAACGCAUUAAGCACUCCGCCUGGGGAGUACGGCCGCAAGGCUG
This 372-nucleotide ribosomal RNA is filed under the name uncultured organism. Its description in RNAcentral is "partial 16S ribosomal RNA". It matches the Rfam family "Bacterial small subunit ribosomal RNA", at positions 527 to 896 of the family's 1533-position model. The record is from RNAcentral.